ACUCACAAAGCCACAAGCAACAAAUCCACCCAUCCGCCUCCCUCUCCACCCGGUGCGCGAGCGAGGAGGCCAAGGACCCACGCCCACAGCCCCCAUCGCCGAUUCGCCGUUCCGCGGGGGCGGGGAGGAUUCCGUUUCCGUCCCUCGUUUCUGGUGCUUUGAUCUCCCCAAGGCGGCAGCCGGCAGCGCCGAGCGCGCCGCGGGAGGUUGGUUGGUGGAUAGUUGGUGGCGGCUUCACUCCCUCCACUGCCCUGGUCUGGUCAAAUCUAAAUGGCGGCCAAUAAUAGCAGCGACCCGAUCCAGCACCAGGAGGAGCUGGGGGAGGGAGGAGGAGCAGGCGUGAAGCACGAGGCGGAGGAAGAGGGGGAGGGGGCGUCUUCCUCCGCGGCGCAGGCAGCCGCGACCACGAUGCUGCCCCGGUCGAGCUCGCGGCCGCAGCUGGACCUCAGCGGCGCGGCGAUCCACGGGACGCUGGAGGACCGCAACCCCACCAUACUGCUGCCCAACCAGUCCGACGACAUAUCACACCUCGCCCUCGACAUCGGCGGUUCUCUUAUAAAGCUGGUAUACUUCUCACGGCAUGCUGAGCUCUCCACUGAGGAUAAACGUAAGAUAUCCACAAAGAGAAGGCUUGGAAUGUUUAAUGGUUGCAGGAGAAGUUACCCGAUUCUUGGAGGGAGGCUCCACUUUGUCAAGUUUGAGACUGGGAAGCUAAAUGAAUGUUUGGAUUUCAUUUCUUCCAAACAACUACAUCGUGGUGGAGUUGAUUCACCUUCGUGGCGCUCAGGAGCUCAGCCUGAUGACAUUGUAAUCAAGGCAACAGGUGGUGGAGCAUACAAGUAUGCGGAUCUCUUCAAGGAGAGAUUGGGAGUCAGCCUUGAAAAGGAAGAUGAAAUGGACUGUCUUGUAGCUGGAGCAAACUUUUUGCUUAAGGCUAUACGUCAUGAAGCUUUUACACACAUGGAUGGCCAAAAGGAAUACGUGCAGAUUGAUCAGAAUGAUUUGUUUCCCUUCCUUCUUGUUAAUGUUGGAUCUGGUGUCAGCAUAAUCAAGGUUGAUGGGUAUGGGAAGUUUCAGCGAGUAAGUGGGACAAAUGUUGGUGGUGGUACAUACUGGGGAUUGGGGAGGUUGAUGACGAAGUGCAAGAGUUUUGAUGAGUUGCUAGAGUUGAGCCAGCGUGGAGACAACAGCACCAUUGACAUGCUUGUAGGAGACAUAUAUGGCGGUCUGGACUACUCCAAGAUUGGCCUUUCAGCAUCAACUAUCGCCUCUAGUUUUGGGAAGACAAUUUCAGAAAACAAGGAGCUGUCAGAUUAUAGACCUGAGGAUAUUUCACUCUCUCUAUUACGAAUGAUUUCGUAUAACAUUGGCCAGAUUUCUUAUCUUAAUGCACUUCGUUAUGGACUCAAGAGGAUAUUCUUUGGUGGAUUCUUCAUUCGUGGCCAUGCCUACACCAUGGACACAAUUUCUUUUGCAGUACAUUUCUGGUCAAAAGGAGAGGCAAAAGCCAUGUUUCUGCGCCAUGAGGGCUUUCUAGGAGCACUUGGUGCAUUUAUGAGUUAUGAGAAGCAUGGUCUUGAUGACUUGAGGGUGCAUCAUUUGGUCGAACGCUUCCCAAUGGGUGCUCCAUAUGUUGGUGGAAAGAUUCACGGCCCCCCUCUCGGAGAUCUUAAUGAAAAGAUAUCAUGGAUGGAGAAAUUUGUCCAGAAGGGUACUCAGAUUACUGCUCCUGUACCUAUGGGAGUUCCUGCUACAACAGGUAUGGGAGGCUUUGAAAGGCCUACUUCUAAGGGCAACAUUUUGCGGUCAGAUGCCAGUGCAGCUCUAAAUGUUGGUGUUCUCCAUCUUGUACCCACAUUGGAUGUGUUUCCGUUGUUAGAAGAUCCAAAGACGUAUGAACCAAACACAAUUGACCUCGACCAGGAUGAGUUCAAGUACUGGUUCACUAUUUUGUCAGACCAUUUGCCGGACCUUGUAGACAAGGCAGUUGCUAGUGAAGGUGGGACUGAUGAUGCCAAAAGGCGGGGAGAUGCAUUUGCACAUGCUUUUUCUGCUCAUCUAGCAAGGUUGAUGGAGGAGCCUGCUGCUUAUGGGAAGUUUGGUUUAGCCAACCUAUUGGAGUUGAGAGAAGAAUGUCUGAGAGAAUUUCAGUUUGUUGAUGCGUAUAUUAGCAUCAAGCAAAGGGAAAAUGAAGCUUCGCUGGCUGUUUUACCUGAUCUUCUCAUGGAACUUGAUAGUAUGAACGAGGAAGCUAGGCUGCUUGUACUAAUUGAAGGUGUCCUUGCUGCAAACAUAUUUGAUUGGGGAUCCCGAGCUUGUGUGGACCUUUAUCACAAGGGAACUAUAAUAGAAAUCUAUCGCAUGAGUCGCAAGAAGAUGCAACGUCCUUGGCGGAUCGAUGACUUUGAUGUGUUCAAAAAGAGAAUGCUUACUGAUAAGAAGGACCAACCAUACAAAAGAGCACUGCUUUUUGUUGAUAACUCGGGUGCUGAUGUGGUCCUUGGAAUGCUUCCUUUAGCACGGGAACUUUUACGCCAUGGAACAGAGGUAGUUCUGGUUGCAAAUUCAUUGCCGGCUCUGAAUGAUGUUACCGCUAAUGAACUUCCAGAAAUUAUAGCUGAAGCCUCAAAGCACUGUGGUAUCCUUCGCAAAGCUGCAGAAGCUGGCGGACUGAUAGUUGAUGCAAUGGCUGGCAUCCAAGAUGAUUUCAAGGAUGAACCAGUGUCAGUGCCACUAAUGGUUGUUGAGAAUGGAUGUGGCAGUCCAUGUAUUGAUUUCCGGCAGGUUAGCUCAGAGCUUGCUGCUGCUGCGAAGGAUGCAGAUUUGGUAAUUUUAGAGGGCAUGGGGCGAGCACUACAUACGAACCUCAAUGCCCAUUUUAAGUGUGAUGCUCUUAAGCUUGCUAUGGUGAAGAAUCAGAGGUUGGCAGAAAAGCUUUUCAAUGGAAAUAUAUACGACUGCAUCUGUAAAUUCGAACCAGUUUCCUAGCAAUACGGGAGUGGAUGCAGAGGAUUUGUUUGAACAUCUUGCAGCUACUUGCAGAAGCGACUAGUUCGUUUGCAACCUGUUAGACGACUGCAUCUGUAAAUUCGAACCAGUUUCCUAGCAAUACGGGAGUGGAUGCAGAGGAUUUGUUUGAACAUCUUGCAGCUACUUGCAGAAGCGACUAGUUCGUUUGCAACCUGUUAGACGACCCCGGAAUGAUCCUUUUCAAUACACCAGUUGAUACUCCUUAAAUGCUGAACAGUAAAAAAAGAUUUAGCUGUUGUUUGUGGUAGCAAUUCCUAAGGUCAUUCAGAACGAUUGAGAAGCCAGCUAGUUUCCAAGGACCCGAAAGUCAGAACUCAUAAGUGAGUUUGAAAUUGCAUUUCCUCCCUGAAACAUGCUCUCAACUCAAUCCAAUAAAAUGUGAUGUGCUUUGGUGCCUA
Phragmites australis (common reed) is the source of this 3428-nucleotide RNA transcript. It is a transcript of the gene named pantothenate kinase 2, with no coding region annotated. NCBI's taxonomy places the organism in Eukaryota, Viridiplantae, Streptophyta, Magnoliopsida, Poales, Poaceae. The record is from RefSeq and is a predicted model, not a curated record. The transcript is spliced from 24 exons.